CUCUAAUAGAAAAUCAUUAUUAGUAAGACUCUGCACAAUGAUCAUUAAAUAGCCGCAAUUUUAUGUGCUAAGGUAGCAUAAUCAUUUGCCUUUUAAUUCAAGGCUAGAAUGAAAGGUUUAACACUUUAAAUUCUGUAAUCUUAUGAUUAUUUGAAAUUUUAAUAUAAAUAAAAAUAUUUAUUAUAUUAGGGGGACGACAAGACCCUAUUGAGCUUUACAUGUUUGUUUUUCUGGGGUGGAAAAUAAACUAAAUCUUUUUUUAUUCUUUUCAAAACAACAAAAACCUUUAAUUUUAAGCAAGUUACCAUAGGGAUAACAGCACAAUUUUUUCUUAAAGAUCGUAUUUAAGAAAAAGUUUAUGACCUCGAUGUUGAAUUAUUAUUCUUUUAUUUUGAAGCAAAAAUCUAAAAGA
This 412-nucleotide ribosomal RNA is filed under the name Titanidiops canariensis. Its description in RNAcentral is "partial 16S ribosomal RNA". It matches the Rfam family "Bacterial large subunit ribosomal RNA", at positions 1887 to 2573 of the family's 2925-position model. The record is from RNAcentral. Lineage: Eukaryota; Metazoa; Arthropoda; Arachnida; Araneae; Idiopidae.